CGCGGGCUAAGGUCCCAAAGUCAUGGUUAAGUGGGAAACGAUGUGGGAAGGCUUAGACAGCUAGGAGGUUGGCUUAGAAGCAGCCACCCUUUAAAGAAAGCG
RNAcentral lists this ribosomal RNA (102 nucleotides) under Klebsiella sp. RNAcentral describes it as "partial 23S ribosomal RNA". It matches the Rfam family "Bacterial large subunit ribosomal RNA", at positions 1033 to 1134 of the family's 2925-position model. Lineage: Bacteria; Pseudomonadati; Pseudomonadota; Gammaproteobacteria; Enterobacterales; Enterobacteriaceae. The record is from RNAcentral.